UAAGUAAGCGGAGGACAAGAAACUAAACAGGAUUCCCUUAGUAAUGGCGAAUGAACAGGGAUGAGCUCAACAUGGAAAUCGCGGCUCCUGGCCGUGAAUUGUAAUUUCAAGAUGCUUCGCUAACGAGGGCGUAGGUGUAAGCCUCUUGGAAAAGAGCACCACCGAGGGUGAGAGUCCCGCUUGUCACCUACAGCCCCUCGUGUUCGGCAGGCGAUCUUCGAGUCACGUUCCUCGGGAUUGGAGCGCAAAGUGGGUGGUAAAUUUCAUCUCAGGCUAAAUAUGGGUUCGAAACCGAUAGCAAACAAGUACCAUGAGGGAAAGAUGAAAAGGACUUUGAAAAGAGAGUUAAAAGUGCCUGAACUCGCUGAAAGGAAAGCGGAUGGAGCCACUCCUCCUUGGCGAGAUUGUUUCGCGCAUCAGUGACUGUCUGUCGAACUAGCGCAAGCAGUUCGGUGGGUUCCGAUCUGGCUGCGCGCGAUGCUUCUUGCCUGGCGCGUCACCGACUGCGCGAUGGCGGGGAUAACUCUGGGGACACGGUAGCGCAGCUUCGGCCGCGUGAAUGUGCUCGGUAGUGCCUGCCCGCGCGCAGUACCAUCGCUUCAGACUGCGCUGCUCACCCGUUGGCGCGCCCUUGCGCCCGUCUCCUGGUGGCACCCCUCUGAGGCUCACGUGGUGGCGAAAUGGUUCCAUUCGACCCGUCUUGAAACACGGACCAAGGAGUCUAACAUAUGCGCGAGUUCUUGGGUGUCAAACCUACGUGUGCAAUGAAAGUGAGUACUGAGACAUUUUGCAUCAGCAGCCGACCGAUCGAUUGGGAGAGGUUUGAGCAUGAGCAUAUCUGUUAGGACCCGAAAGAUGGUGAACUAUGCCUGAGAAGGGCGAAGUCUGGGGAAACUCAGAUGGAGGCUCGUAGCGGUACUGACGUGCAAAUCGUUCGUCAUACUUGGGUAUAGGGGCGAAAGACUAAUCGAACCAUC
RNAcentral lists this ribosomal RNA (977 nucleotides) under Nusuttodinium poecilochroum. Its description in RNAcentral is "eukaryotic LSU rRNA". It matches the Rfam family "Eukaryotic large subunit ribosomal RNA", at positions 43 to 944 of the family's 3401-position model. The record is from RNAcentral. Lineage: Eukaryota; Dinophyceae; Gymnodiniales; Gymnodiniaceae.